Molecule: long non-coding RNA, 154 nt
Organism: Humulus lupulus (European hop)
Lineage: Eukaryota; Viridiplantae; Streptophyta; Magnoliopsida; Rosales; Cannabaceae
Exons: 2
Source: RefSeq, a predicted model, not a curated record
AAAAUAGAAGAUCGAUUCAGUUUCUUGAUAAUACUCUGUGACUGAGAGGAUACAAGAGUUAGAGAAACUGAAGGAAGGACUCUUUCAUUCUGCUGUGUAUACUAACAAUAGGAAUUCCUUGCUUCAUGGAAAUAUGCACAUACCCCUAACAGAG